GUGGGGAAUAUUGGGCAAUGGGGGAAACCCUGACCCAGCAACGCCGCGUGAAGGAAGAAGGCUUUCGGGUUGUAAACUUCUUUUAUGAGGGACGAAAAAAAUGACGGUACCUCAUGAAUAAGCCACGGCUAACUACGUGCCAGCAGCCGCGGUAAUACGUAGGUGGCAAGCGUUGUCCGGAUUUACUGGGUGUAAAGGGCGCGUAGGCGGGAAGGCAAGUCAGAUGUGAAAUCCCCAGGCUUAACCUGGGAACUGCAUUUGAAACUGUUUUUCUUGAGUGAUGGAGAGGCAAGUGGAAUUCCUAGUGUAGCGGUGAAAUGCGUAGAUAUUAGGAGGAACACCAGUGGCGAAGGCGGCUUCCUGGCACAAUACUGACGCUCAUGUGCGAAAGCUAGGGCAGCGAACGGGAUUAGAAACCCCUGUAGUCC
RNAcentral lists this ribosomal RNA (428 nucleotides) under uncultured bacterium. RNAcentral describes it as "partial 16S ribosomal RNA". It matches the Rfam family "Bacterial small subunit ribosomal RNA", at positions 354 to 796 of the family's 1533-position model. The record is from RNAcentral.